AUUGAACGCUGGCGGCAUGCUUUACACAUGCAAGUCGAACGGUAACAGGUUAAGCUGACGAGUGGCGAACGGGUGAGUAAUGCAUCGGAACGUGCCCGAUCGUGGGGGAUAACGCAGCGAAAGCUGCGCUAAUACCGCAUACGAUCUGAGGAUGAAAGCGGGGGACCGUAAGGCCUCGCGCGAUCGGAGCGGCCGAUGUCAGAUUAGGUAGUUGGUGGGGUAAAGGCUCACCAAGCCGACGAUCUGUAGCUGGUGUGAGAGGACGACCAGCCACACUGGGACUGAGACACGGCCCAGACUCCUACGGGAGGCAGCAGUGGGGAAUUUUGGACAAUGGGCGCAAGCCUGAUCCAGCAAUGCCGCGUGCAGGAAGAAGGCCUUCGGGUUGUAAACUGCUUUUGUACGGAGCGAAAAGGCUCUCUCUAAUACAGGGGGCUCAUGACGGUACCGUGAGAAUAAGCACCGGCUAACUACGUGCCAGCCGCCGCAGUAA
Molecule: ribosomal RNA, 493 nt
Filed under: uncultured bacterium
Lineage: Bacteria
Description: partial 16S ribosomal RNA
Rfam family: Bacterial small subunit ribosomal RNA
Source: RNAcentral